This 232-nucleotide ribosomal RNA is filed under the name uncultured bacterium. RNAcentral's name for it is "partial 16S ribosomal RNA". It matches the Rfam family "Bacterial small subunit ribosomal RNA", at positions 104 to 334 of the family's 1533-position model. The record is from RNAcentral.
CGGGGUGAGUAAGGCGUGGAUAACCUGCCUCACACUGGGGGAUAACAGUUAGAAAUGACUGCUAAUACCGCAUAAGCGCACAGUACCGCAUGGUACAGUGUGAAAAACUCCGGUGGUGUGAGAUGGAUCCGCGUCUGAUUAGCCAGUUGGCGGGGUAACGGCCCACCAAAGCGACGAUCAGUAGCCGACCUGAGAGGGUGACCGGCCACAUUGGGACUGAGACACGGCCCAA